Small nucleolar RNA from Bufo bufo (common toad), 72 nucleotides. Lineage: Eukaryota; Metazoa; Chordata; Amphibia; Anura; Bufonidae. The record is from RefSeq and is a predicted model, not a curated record.
CAGCAAUGAUGUCUGAAUUUCUUCACCUGAACAUCACCGUGUGGUUCUCAGAGCUUUUUAACCCUGAGCUGU